Molecule: ribosomal RNA, 450 nt
Filed under: uncultured bacterium
Lineage: Bacteria
Description: partial 16S ribosomal RNA
Rfam family: Bacterial small subunit ribosomal RNA
Source: RNAcentral
CCUACGGGAGGCUGCAGUGGGGAAUUUUGGACAAUGGGGGCAACCCUGAUCCAGCCAUGCCGCGUGAGUGAAGAAGGCCUUCGGGUUGUAAAGCUCUUUCGGCCGGGAAGAAAUCGCGCCAGCUAAUACCUGGUGUGGAUGACGGUACCGGAAGAAGAAGCACCGGCUAACUACGUGCCAGCAGCCGCGGUAAUACGUAGGGUGCGAGCGUUAAUCGAAGUUUCUGGAGGUGAAGCGUGCACACACGGGUGAAAUCCCCGGGCUUAACCUGGGAACUGCGCUUGUGACUGCAAGACUUGAGUGCGGCAGAGGGGGGUGGAAUUCCACGGGUAGCAGUGAAAUGCGUAGAGAUGUGGAGGAACACCGAUGGCGAAGGCAGCCCCCUGGGUCGACACUGACGCUCAUGCACGAAAGCGUGGGGAGCAAACAGGAUUAGAUACCCGUGUAGUC